This 454-nucleotide long non-coding RNA is filed under the name Mus musculus (house mouse). RNAcentral's name for it is "predicted gene, 50046". Lineage: Eukaryota; Metazoa; Chordata; Mammalia; Rodentia; Muridae. The record is from RNAcentral.
GAGAACUUUGUGCACAGAAUCUGUAAUCUGGUCUCGGCCCUGCCAGUUUGGGGAUGGGUAUCCUCCACGGUAUCACCAACUGGUACCAAGGGCUCAAAUAUCUGAACCAAUGGGGGAUCACUCCCAUUCAAACCACUACUGCCUCUAAUGCAUCUACAUGAAGAAGUCAGGCUUAGAGAAAGACUCAGUCUUGUGGGGAAAAGAUUUCAGCAUGUGACAGGUUUUCUGCUCUCUCAGUAUAAUUACUAGGUUGGCUUCAGAAGACAAUACCAAAGGACAAAUAUGUAUGACAAGAUGACUCAGCCCCCACCUCCAUGUGAGUGUCUCUUGGUGGGUUCAGAACUCUUCUGUCCCAGUUUGUUCCCCUGCAGAACUUGGAAAGGUCUCAUAAUUAAUAGUUUCUCAACUUUCACAAGAAUCUAAUUUUGGCAUAAAAAAAAACAUUUGUAAAGUC